ACAAAAUAAUAUUGCACCAACCUUAUUAGAUAGCAACACUCUGCUAGCUAGCCUGUUGCUUUUCUUUCUCCACUCCCAGUGCUCCAAACCAGCCUUGCCCUGACUGCUUUCCUUUCUGCACUCCCAGUGCUCCAAGCCAGCCUUGCCCUGACUGCUUUCCUUUCUGCACUCCCAGUGCUCCAAGCCAGCCUUGACUGUUUCCUCCUGCACUCCCAGUGCUC
Molecule: non-coding RNA, 221 nt
Organism: Pelobates cultripes (western spadefoot toad)
Lineage: Eukaryota; Metazoa; Chordata; Amphibia; Anura; Pelobatidae
Source: the annotation of a GenBank genome assembly